UCAUCUUUUGAUAUCUUCAACAUAGAGCUAUUGCCGCUGCUUGGCUAAAAGUGCAAUUUCAAUGAUGAGUGCUAUUAAUUAACAGUCCUAUAUUUGAACUGUUUCUGCCGUUAUAUACUCUUCAACAAAAGUUCGGUGCUAGGACUCAAUAAUAGCUAAAGGAUUGUGCUAAAUUCUGAAGUACUAGUUAAGCUUGGAAGUCUAAUUUGAAUGGAUAGUCCGAUAAUGUUGUGAAGCCUUUAACUUGUGAAUCAACUCCGACUCUGUGCAAUAGAGAUUUCAAACGGGAAAAAAGAGGUUUCAAGCGAUAAUAUUGAGAAAGCAAAGUUGUAGAUUUACAACAAUCAAAAGCCAUGGAUAGGCUUGCCCAUGAAUACAUUAACACCAGUGACCAAUGCUGCUUUCAUCUUCCUCAAAUUCUCCAUCAAUGCCAAUGAACUCUUCCAAUUCUGGUUGGAUUCUGUUUAUCUCAAUGGCUGGAUUUCCAUUUGUAUUCUGUGAGUGAACAGUACCUGCAGUAGUUUUCACCUGUGUUUUCUACUCUAUUCCUCUUUAAUAAUAAAAUAACUUUGACAAGCGGGACCUACUUUUUUGGAGAAUGGAAAUUUCUUUGCAAACUAAAUAGGCCUUUAACUGUUGAACGAGGAAGAUGGAAGUGGUGGGGACAACUUUGCUUUUGUUUAAACUCUAACAAAACCUGGCUGGAAUGCCCUAGUUUUGACUGUUAUCAGGCCUUUGUUAUGCUCUGAAAUUGGAAUCGAAAAUCAUUUUUUGGCAAAA
This is a long non-coding RNA of Ipomoea triloba (trilobed morning glory), 780 nucleotides long. RefSeq lists it as uncharacterized. NCBI's taxonomy places the organism in Eukaryota, Viridiplantae, Streptophyta, Magnoliopsida, Solanales, Convolvulaceae. The transcript is spliced from 2 exons. The record is from RefSeq and is a predicted model, not a curated record.